RNAcentral lists this ribosomal RNA (255 nucleotides) under uncultured bacterium. RNAcentral's name for it is "partial 16S ribosomal RNA". It matches the Rfam family "Bacterial small subunit ribosomal RNA", at positions 524 to 776 of the family's 1533-position model. The record is from RNAcentral.
UACGUAGGGUGCGAGCGUUAAUCGGAAUUACUGGGCGUAAAGUGUGCGCAGGCGGCUUCGCAAGUCGAGUGUGAAAUCCCCAGCUUAACUUGGGAAUUGCGCUCGAAACUGCGUAGCUAGAGUCCUGGAGAGGAAGGUGGAAAUGCUUGGUGUAGAGGUGAAAUUCGUAGAUAUCAAGCGGAACACCGGUGGACGAAGGCGGCCUUCUGGACAGUGGACUGACGCUGAGACGCGAAAGCGUGGGGAGCAAACAGG